RNAcentral lists this transfer RNA (58 nucleotides) under Salmo salar (Atlantic salmon). It matches the Rfam family "tRNA", at positions 8 to 63 of the family's 71-position model. Rfam says of the family: Transfer RNA (tRNA) molecules are approximately 80 nucleotides in length. Their secondary structure includes four short double-helical elements and three loops (D, anti-codon, and T loops). The record is from Rfam by way of RNAcentral. Lineage: Eukaryota; Metazoa; Chordata; Actinopteri; Salmoniformes; Salmonidae.
UGGCUCAGCUGGUAGAGUGUGGCUUUUGCAACGCCAGGGUUGUGGGUUCGAUUCCCAU